GUUGUAAACACAUUUAUUUUUUCUAGUACUCAUUUGUAUGGGAAAUGCACACGCUAAGAAUUUCGAGUUUAAUGUAUGAAAAAGAAUAUAUUUUUACGACAUCUAUAAACCUGCUAAGGAGGGUCUUUUAGCAGUGUUUCUAUUAAAAUUUUAUUUUGCAUGUGCAUGAAAAGAAUAACUUCUGGCGCAUAUGGAGGCACAUGCAUCUGAAAGGCCCAUAUGCUACAUCGACGACCUGCUCCUUCUUCCUGUCAGUUGGCCGUGUCCCCUCCCCUGUAGCCAUACCCCAUUGCGGAGGAGUGCCGCUGCUUGCAUUCCUCGAUGGCAUGCUCCUUCUCGUAUUGUUAUCCGCCUCUCACCCCCUGCAGCUCCACCCCAGACAGCACAAGGUCACAAUUUAUAUUCAGAGCUAUUUGAAAAGUUUUGGUCCCAAAUUCAUUUUCACUUUUAGUGCCAACAAAAAUAUAGAUCUUCUCUGCAAUUAAUUUACAUGACAUGACGAUGGCAUCAAUUCAUAUCCAUCCAUUAUAACAUGAACAUUUAUAUUUUGUUUUGCGGAAAACAAACUGGACAUAUAACGGAAUAUACUAAACCGAAAUAGAAAAAAAACAUGGCAAUCUCUUUGCAUAAUCUGGAAUGUAAAAAGGCCAUUCUCAAAAGGUAGUUAUUGGUGCUGCCAUAUUCAUUCAUGAAUACUACCUUAUACCAACUAUUAUUAUUUAGCUUUCUUAAGAUAUGCCUCUUUCAUACUCUGCGAAGAACAAAUUAUGCAUGCAUAUCUUCAUGCGUGAUAUGCCUCCUUUAUAUUAAGAAAACGAUUUUUUGCAGGCUUAAACUCCACAUGGUCAGUAGAAUGGGUAUCUAAAAGGACCAAGAUUAUAGCAUCAAAAUGCAAGAACAAAUGUUCAAAAGAGGGAGGAAAAUCACCUUGAUCUUGUUCACCCUUUUAGAUAAAUUCUUCUUCUCUUCAUCCUCAGAUCUGUACACUUCAUGUUUAGAAAACCCGACAAAAAAUCGAACACAAUGCUUAAAGAAAGUGCCAUUGCGGAAUUUAGCAUUUGCCAUUUCACAAAACAGAAAAUCUAAAUAGGAAAAGAAAUAAUGGAGCACCUAUGUAGAAGUGAGAAAACCUUCAACGGAUGAAAAAGGAACAACACCCUCGUAGAUGAAUUCAUUAGAACACAGGGUGGGCUAGAAGUAGAAAUAAAGUAGGUGCAUAAAUAAUUUAAAUUUAAGUGCAGAAAUACAGUAGAAGUAGAAGUAGAAGCAAAAAAAAACUGUAGAUGCAGUAAUCAAACUAAGUACUCCCUCCAUGCUAGGAAAGAAGACACACAAGUUUGUUGGAUUAACUUGGUCAAACUUUACAUUGUUUGACUUUGACCAAAACUGGCAUGCCUUCUUUUGAAGAAGGGAGGGAGUAUUAAAUUUAAAUAUGAAAUGGUGUUGUGGUAAUUAACAAAGUGAGCUGCAGGUACCCAGGAUAAAAAACCUUCCAGCUCAUUGGUGAGAAACCUCACUGAAGCUCCUACGAAUAGGAGGAGGAAGCGGAGGUGGCGCGGAGGCUGUGGCUAGAAUGACGGGAGGUGGACUCACUCCACUCCAUGAACCGCUGCUGCUUCCGCACGCAGACAACAGAAUCACCAUGGCCUUCUUCCUCUGGCCGACCCAGCGCCGUCAUGGUCAUACGCAAGGGAGAGGGAGAGGAUGGGGUUGGUGGUUUCAUGGAGACUGGCGAGGAAGAGAGUUCGAGGAGGGAGCGAGGGAGGGGUGUGGCGUGCGGCGUGCGGGCGAGGGGAUUGGGAUUUCAAGGACAUGGCUUGCCCCACACUCCCGCAAAUGGCGCGACAUGCACGCGGCGCGCAGGGAGAGGGCGCACCUGCAGAUGUUAACUGAAUAAUAUAGUACUCACUAUGAUAAGAAUGAUAUUAGUUAAACACAAAAUACUGUCAGGUUACUUGUUUAGUUUAAGGAACAGUUUAGACCGCAAAAAGAGCAGUAACAGGCAGGUACCUGACUCCUCUCUAUUUCCAGCUAGGCAUAAUUAUUCCAAAGAAAGAAAGCAUAAAUUACUGACACACAAUGUUAGCUAGGCCAAUGACAUAUAUACAUAUGUAACCAACACAAAGGCUAAACCGAUCGACCAUUACUUCUGAUGUUGCAUAAAAUUUCCGACAUGAAAGCAUCUAAGCAUGUUGAGAAAGGAACUUGACGAACUCAUGAGAGAAGAUAUAGCAAAUACAAAUUAUUAAUAGUGAAAUAAGUAUAUAAUUAGUGCAAAAUUCAAGAGUGAGUUCACUCUUUCUUUACCAAACUAUUAUGUGAGAAGGCGUAUUAUAAAAGGCAUAACACACACCAAUCAAUGUAAGAAAGUAAACCGAUGUGUAGGGGCGUUCUAACUCUUAAUCAUGAUUGUACUUGCAGGAUGAAUGUGCCUUCAUAAGACAAACAAAAUCAGAGUUUUGUAGAAGCAAUGGGCAAAGAGAGAGGACACCUAAUUGGCUGAGGCCACGCUAUGUUGCGCCUCCUCACGGUUGACCUUCCUGCUGAGCCGUACUCAUGUUGAAAUAACGAAGUAUAUCACAUCAUUUGUGGUCCAUAUACCCCUAGAAAACAUGAUGACAUCAGUUAAUGGCAUAAACAUAUUUCAAAUAAAUGUGAGCAUAUUUUCUGUAACAACACAAACACCAACACCAAAAUCAGAAGAAACAGAAUUGAUAAUAUGGAAGUGAACUUGGCACCCGAUAAAUUUAACAGGCCAAUAUAUGACAACUCUUCAUGUUGAUAUGGCAAAAAAGCGAUACUUGAAACAAAUAAAUUUAUCUGUAAAAAUGACAUAAGGAAUGUACUCGAUAAGCAUGCUAAGAUACAGUCGAGCAUCGGAUGGGUCAAUUCGAUUCUGAUAUAACAAUUAUGCAGAAAAUAUAGUUCAUAACAGCAUGACAAGUGAAGUGAAAGCAUUAAUAUAUCUGAACACUUCAUCUUUUUUACUGAGAAUUAAUAUUUUAUAUGCUUUUUCUAUUUGCGAAAGAUUUGUAUUCUUUGACCAUUAUAUAUUAUGUCAAAAUAGAAGAUGAUAUACUGAACUUACUAACAAGUGUCAACUUCUUGAUUUAUCAGAGAUCUAACAGAAUGUAAAGGGACAGUUAACAACUUAUUGCUACAAUGUGUGUGUACUGCAUUUAGACAGCAAGUACCAAUCAUUUAGACAGCAAGUACUGAUCAUCGGUCCCAACAAAUGAUGCAAAACAGAAUAAUCAAAUGAACUACUUACCCUCUGGCAAGGUCAGGAGCUAUCUAUAUACCCUGUCCUGGGAUAUAUAGGUCGGCAAAUGCGUACUACCUGUAGUGUUGUCUAGGCUAACAAGGUAAAAUUAUCCACUACAGAAUAACAUUUUAUUUUGCCUUUCAAUUCAUGUGCUUACAGGAUAACACAUGCAUUUUUUUCAACCUUAUGACAGUCCAUAUUUUUUUGAAGAGGGUUUAAAUUGGUUUCCUUUGCGAGCAAUGCAUACAUACAGUUUGGGGAAAUGGGCGAACGUGGAACAACUCCUUGACGAAUCAGUAAUCAAGUGUAACGAAAUGCCAAGGUGAGAAAGAUGGUUGGCAUGUGUCUAAAUCAUUUAGCCUCUCAUUAUUUUGUGCAAAUAGGCUCAAGAACAGGUAUCAUCUAUCAGCCUAUUUAAGUGAGUUUCGUUGUGGAGUGUUCCUUGCUGAUCAGAAGUUUUUUUUCUUUCUAACAUUUGGAAAAGGGACACAUAGCUCAGGAGCACACCACGGAUUCUUACUCAUCCAAAUAAAGGACUUUUUCAGACUUACUCAAUUAUAAUGUGAUAGAUAGAUCACGACUAAGUAUUUUGAAAAGAGAAGUUAUUUUGCCAUCGAAAGAAAAAACACGAGUAAUCCAAACCAAACCAAGAGCUGAGGUUGUGGCGAGCACUCACCUGGACCUUGUCGAGCUUGCCCAUGUUCAUAACCUUGAAAAGGGUGAAUCCAGCGGGCGUCUCAAACAGCAUCAACAUCUCCAACCAAGCCACAACUCAACUCACCUGAAUCGAAGCACAGGCACACAACGAAAUCAAAACAAAGACCAAAAAUUGCAAAAAGACAUGAGAAAUGAUCAGCAGUCAAAUAGUCCCAAAAUGAUACAUUGAGAAAUCUAUAUUGGCCUUAUAGUUCAUAGAAGAACAAGAAACUACAACAUGCAAAAAAUAACACAUGAAUAUUCAAACCUUAGUCCUAUCUGAAGACAUCUUCAGUUGAACAGAGAACCAAUAAUAUGAUCCAUCAAAACCAAAUGCUUUAACAUCGACAUUCUCCUGCACCACAUAAAUGGCACUGAAUCAGCAAAGCAUAGUGUUAAAAGCAUAAUCAAAACAUGUCCACACAACAGGACAACAAGUUCAACAUUUUCAAAUGAUUCAUAGAUUUAGGAGUUGAUAGCCAAAUCACCAGAAUAGAUCAUAGCCAAGAUUAUACACCUAUGCAGUAUACCACACCUCCCGCACCAGAUCUUAUCCCUACAGCACGAAACCCCAAACAUGUGAGCAGAUCGGGCCAAGAGGAAAAAGAAAAACACUUAAAGGGAAGGGGAUCGGGAGACAGGACGGAAAACCCGAGGCGGACGUCCCUGUGCAGCGCCGCCGCUGGCCGUGCCGGCUUCCCUCGCCACCUGCUCCUCUAGUCCUCGUGCAGAGAGAUGGAGUCGGGUUGACCUGCUCCUUCCCCUUGUCCCAGACUGUUGCGCUGCUAGGGGCUAAUGGAGAGGGGAGGAUUGGCAACAAAGGACGCAGCAAGGAGACAAAGACAGGCGGCGGAC
Molecule: long non-coding RNA, 4816 nt
Filed under: Triticum aestivum (bread wheat)
Lineage: Eukaryota; Viridiplantae; Streptophyta; Magnoliopsida; Poales; Poaceae
Description: long non-coding RNA (TAES_LNC011986)
Source: RNAcentral